RNAcentral lists this transfer RNA (76 nucleotides) under Schistocephalus solidus. It matches the Rfam family "tRNA". From Rfam's summary of the family: Transfer RNA (tRNA) molecules are approximately 80 nucleotides in length. Their secondary structure includes four short double-helical elements and three loops (D, anti-codon, and T loops). Further hydrogen bonds mediate the characteristic L-shaped molecular structure. tRNAs have two regions of fundamental functional importance: the anti-codon, which is responsible for specific mRNA codon recognition, and the 3' end, to which the tRNAs corresponding amino acid is attached (by aminoacyl-tRNA synthetases). tRNAs cope with the degeneracy of the genetic code in two manners: having more than one tRNA (with a specific anti-codon) for a particular amino acid; and 'wobble' base-pairing, i.e. permitting non-standard base-pairing at the 3rd anti-codon position. Lineage: Eukaryota; Metazoa; Platyhelminthes; Cestoda; Diphyllobothriidea; Diphyllobothriidae. The record is from Rfam by way of RNAcentral.
GGCCUCGCAGCUUAGUUGGUCAAAGCGUUGGCUGCUCUCAAGCCUUCUGUCAUGGGUCCAAAUCCCACCAAGACCA